RNAcentral lists this long non-coding RNA (2664 nucleotides) under Homo sapiens (human). Its description in RNAcentral is "HSALNT0321928". Lineage: Eukaryota; Metazoa; Chordata; Mammalia; Primates; Hominidae. The record is from RNAcentral.
UACUUUUGUAUUUGACCACGUAAGACAAUUGGAUGGGCACCUAAUAUAUUUCCUGGUACACUCCUAUUGUGGUUGGUCUUCUUUAUCUGUAUGUCUAUCUUGUUCAGUCUGCGCUUCAGCUUUGCAGGAAAAUAGAAAUUUUUUUUUCUGUGCUUGUUUAUGCUAACCAUGGUGCCUACAACUGCAUCUGCUGCCUUUACACGGGACUGCAAACCUGUUUUUUUCAACCUUCUGUUUUAUGGGUGUGCACACCCAUAAAUCUCCUGUGGCUGGGUUAAGGGAACAUACAAGCAGCUCUUCAGCAUUAAGAAUGUGAUGGGAGAGAUUCAGGUAGAUUUGAACUGCCAUCAUCAAUCAAGACCAAGGAGAAGGCUGCUUUCCAGGAUGUACACAUGGCCUCUGUUUGCUGUUGCUGUUUUGCUUCUUUUAAGAGGUGAACCAAUAUAUGUAUGUCUGUUUCUACUGUCACUUGCAGCUCAACAGAACCCUGUAAUAUACAUGAACAAGUUUCUGGAAGUUAAGAGUUGAAAAAACAUAUGGGUUGAUUGAUCGUGGCACCCAAGAAGAAAUAUCUAGGUCAUAAUCCCUGGAACCUGUGAAUGUUACUUUAUUUGGAAAAAGUAUCUUUGCAGAUGUAAUUCAUCUAAGGAUCUUGAAAUGAGGAGAUCAUCCUGGAUUACCCAGGUGGGCCCUAAAACCAAUGACUAGUGUUCUUGUAAGAAAAAAGAAGACUGAAACUUAGACAAAACAGGAAAAGACACAGAAAAGAGAUGUGAAGAUAGAAGCAGAAUGGAGAACAGUGUGGCCAUAAGCCAAGGAAUGCCAACCCCCACCAGAAGGUGGAAAAGGCAAAAAAGGGAUUGUCUCUUGCAGCUUCCAGAAGGUGUGGAGUCCUAAUGACACCUUGAUUUUGGACUUUCGGCCUCCAGAACUUUGUGAGAAUAAAUUUUUGUUGUUUUAAGCAACACAUUUUGUGGUGACUUGUUACAGGAGCCACAGAAAACUAGUACACAGUAUGAGCUCAAUAAUAUGACUAUGUGUUCAUCAAAUCCAUGAGAUGACAAAUUCCUUGAGGCAAGGACCACUAAGAUUUUGUUGAUGGUUAUGUUUUACACAGCUAGCUUGAAUGAGGCAGAGUAUCUAGGCACAUGGCUGACCAGAAAAAAUACUGUUUCCCUGUCUCCUUUGAAGCUGGAUGUAGCCCAGGGGCUAUUUUGAGCCAAAAAGAUAAAAGCACAUAUAAAGUGGCAACUACAGGGAUACACAUUCCUAAAGAGGAGGGAGCAGUGUGAUGGAUGAACAGGAGACACCAACUUACUUAGGAAGUGUAUUUGAUUUGGUGCAAGAUGAGUGUAGAUUGAGAGUAGAGGCAAUGCCUAGAGUAACAGUAACAGAAAAGUGUUAUACAACACCUGAAUGCCUACAAAGACUUUCCUAUAAGAGGAGUUAUGCUACUGUUUUCUUCUUAUGUUACAGACAAGGUAGAGUUUUGCCACAACCAAACUUAAUUCUAACUAAUAUACAAGAUAACUGGGCCAGAUGUGUUAUGAGUUUGGUGAAUUUAUAUAAAUUUUUUGACAAGUAUUUUAUAUCAAGUUGCAUUCUUGGAGAAAAUGAGAAGAGGAAUUUACUAGCAAUAUUCAUGAAUUGAAAUAUUUUUGUACUCUGCCUUCCACUCACCUGCACAUCAAGAGAUAAGAAAUGAUCUAUUUAUAUAAAAUGAAUUGAAAUAUAUAUUUUAUUUAUAUUUCUCCACCUUCUGCAUAAAAUAUUUUUAUUGAAGGCUUUUAUGGUGUUCAUUACAAUGCCUAAAAGUCAAGGUAUCAACUCUAAUUUCUCAUUUAUUAUACUACAAUGUAGAUUUUUGUUGAAAAUAACUGUAAUGACAUCAAUGCAUAUCAUUUUGACCCUCGAGAAUUAAAUUUUUUGAUGUUAAUUAUUCAUAAACACACCUUGUCUGAGCUCAUUUGAAAAAUUAAAAAAUGAAAUCAUGUCUCAGCAAUGUACCCAGGGUACCUGCUACCUCUGUAAAACAUUCUGACUCUCUAAAAUUUAAUUAUUGCUUCCUUACUUAUAUCUACAUGCUACCCACUCAAAUAAUAUUUGUUGCAUUGAUUUCUCUCUUUCAAUUAAUCCCUGCAAACAGGUUUCUUCCAGAAAUAUUGGGUGAUUGUGCAUAUUGUUAACUGAAAUAAAUUCUGUAUCCUGCAUUUCACCUUGUUGCCAUUAUGAAAUGUCAACCAAUCACAUUACUGACAGAUGUUGUUUCAUUCUACAUUUCCAUAGAUCUAAUAAUAUCUUUCUUUUUAAUUGUCUCUUCUUGAGACAAUUGUGUCCAGGUGAAUGAUAGGGAUAAGACAACUAAUUGACACCUAUUAGUUUAUGUGGAAAGGCCUGGGGCAUAAGUAAUCAAGCAAAUUUUGCACUUUCUCUUUCAUUUUUCCCCUCACUUAAGACUCAUAAUUAUAUUCUAAUCCUCAAGAUUCAAAUCAGUGAAGAAUUUCUUGAUCUGGUCAAGCAAAAUUAAUCAUCCCUCUUUUUGUUUCAUGACUGAAUGUAACAGUAGCACUCUUUUUAUAAAUUCUACUUUUGUGUGAAAAAUUGAAGAAAAAGUUUUAAUACAUGGUAGUUUCUAAAACCUACUGACAUUCUUGAAAAACUCCA